This 387-nucleotide transfer-messenger RNA is filed under the name Candidatus Omnitrophota. Its description in RNAcentral is "JAHJBY01 sp018813285 Standard tmRNA". It matches the Rfam family "transfer-messenger RNA". Rfam says of the family: Bacterial tmRNA, also known as 10Sa RNA or SsrA, is named for its dual tRNA and mRNA-like properties. Its role is to liberate the mRNA from a stalled ribosome. Lineage: Bacteria; Pseudomonadati. The record is from RNAcentral. RNAcentral also lists the same sequence under 1 other name.
GGGGGUGACAGGUCUCGACAUGUUAUCUUGAUCCAUUGAGCAGCAUGCAGAGGUUGUCAGGUGGCCUCUUUAAAAACCUGGCAAAAAAAAUAAAUGCAGACUACAAUCCAGUAGCUGACGCCGAGGCUAUUUUAGCCGAAGGCACACUAGCUCCUCAAUACGCAGGGGCGGGUUCAUUAUUUGGCGCUCUGGCCAUCUAAUUUAACCUUAAACUAAGCAGAGACGCCCGGAGUUUUAUCUUCUGCCUCCGGGUCUGAUCUAAGAAGGUUGCUUUCGGAAAGGCCCAGUUUACCAGGCCUUCCGGGAAAAGAUAAGGGUAGACUAAGCAUGUAGAUACUCGUUGGGUAAGUUCCAUGGACCCGGGUUCGAAUCCCGGCACCUCCACCA